AGCGUUAUCCGGAAUCACUGGGUUUAAAGGGUGCGUAGGCGGCGCUAUAAGUCAGAGGUGAAAGGCCACCGCUUAACGGUGGGACUGCCUUUGAUACUGUAGUGCUUGAAUCAGGUUGAGGUAGGCGGAAUGUGACAUGUAGCGGUGAAAUGCUUAGAUAUGUCAUAGAACACCAAUUGCGAAGGCAGCUUGCUAGACCUUGAUUGACGCUGAGGCACGAAAGCGUGGGGAGCGAACAGG
RNAcentral lists this ribosomal RNA (240 nucleotides) under Madagascaria erythrocladioides. RNAcentral's name for it is "partial Bacterial small subunit ribosomal RNA". It matches the Rfam family "Bacterial small subunit ribosomal RNA", at positions 537 to 776 of the family's 1533-position model. The record is from RNAcentral. Lineage: Eukaryota; Rhodophyta; Compsopogonophyceae; Erythropeltidales; Erythrotrichiaceae.